This 443-nucleotide ribosomal RNA is filed under the name Heterixalus andrakata (Andrakata reed frog). RNAcentral's name for it is "partial large subunit ribosomal RNA". It matches the Rfam family "Bacterial large subunit ribosomal RNA", at positions 1959 to 2606 of the family's 2925-position model. The record is from RNAcentral. Lineage: Eukaryota; Metazoa; Chordata; Amphibia; Anura; Hyperoliidae.
GCAUAAUAAAUUGUUCUCUAAAUAAGGACUAGUAUGAAAGGCACCACGAGGGCUUAACUGUCUCCCUCUUUCCAAUUAAUGAAACUGAUCUUCUCGUGAAGCUUUAAACUUAUCACCAUUUACUUCUUAUUACACCACUGUAUAUAGUAAAAUUUACUUGAUAGUUUUCGGCUGGGGUGACCCUGGAGAAAAACAAAUCCUCCAGGAUGAACGGAAUAAUAAUCCUAAUCAAAGAGCUACAGCUCUAUGAAUCAAAAUAUUGACAGAUUUGAUCCAAUUACUUGAUCAACGAACCAAGUUACCCUGGGGAUAACAGCGCAAUCCAUUUCAAGAGCCCCUAUCGACAAAUGGGUUUACGACCUCGAUGUUGGAUCGGGGUGUCCCAGUGGCGCAACCGCUACUAAAGGUUCGUUUGUUCAACGAUUAAUAACCCCACGUGAUCU